GAGUUUGAUCCUGGCUCAGAGCGAACGCUGGCGGCAGGCCUAACACAUGCAAGUCGAGCGGCCGUAGCAAUACGGCAGCGGCAGACGGGAGAGUAACACGUGGGAACGUGCCCUUCAGUUCGGAACAACCAAGGGAAACUUUGGCUAAUACCGGAUACGCCCUUACGGGGAAAGAUUUAUCGCUGAAGGAUCGGCCCGCGUCUGAUUAGCUAGUUGGUGGGGUAAUGGCCCACCAAGGCGACGAUCAGUAGCUGGUCUGAGAGGAUGAUCAGCCUCACUGGGACUGAGACACGGCCCAGACUCCUACGGGAGGCAGCAGUGGGGAAUAUUGGACAAUGGGCGCAAGCCUGAUCCAGCCAUGCCGCGUGGGUGAUGAAGGCCCUAGGGUUGUAAAGCCCUUUCGGCGGGGAAGAUAAUGACGGUACCGCAGAAGAAGCCCCGGCUAACUUCGUGCCAGCAGCCGCGGUAAC
RNAcentral lists this ribosomal RNA (470 nucleotides) under uncultured Alphaproteobacteria bacterium. Its description in RNAcentral is "bacterial SSU rRNA". It matches the Rfam family "Bacterial small subunit ribosomal RNA", at positions 9 to 524 of the family's 1533-position model. The record is from RNAcentral. Lineage: Bacteria; Pseudomonadati; Pseudomonadota; Alphaproteobacteria.